UGUGACAAAGCUGUCACUGUCAAGUGUCAAAUUUUUACCCCUGAGCCCAACAAAUGUACAUAAAGGAAAAGGCUUCUCAGCUUUCCGCUCGAUACAAGACUCGUAUCUUGAAUCGGCCACCCCAAACACAACCGGUUACUCAUUUUGUCCAGCCUCAUUGGAAGGUCCACCCAACAACUACUGAGUUGACCCGGCAAUUCGGCCCAGUCAAAAGACACCACCCACAACGAGUCCCAUAUAAAUAACUUUGGGAUUAGGAACCCCUAAAGUUUGUCAAAGCUGAACAACUCAUCCCACGUGGAACAUCUAAAUCGCAGCCAUGACGUCAAACUACAGAUCGACGGUUAACAUAACACGACGCCUGUAAUAAAAUCAUUGCAGACUUCUCCACGUGGUUGCGUCGAACGCAAGUGUAUUCGCUGUUGCGCUAACUAACUGUAUCACCGGAUGCAGACAAGCCUUUCACCACCUCGAAACACUCAAACCCUUCUAAAACCUCGAUAUAAUAUCAACCGCAACAUACUAUUAAUUUUGGAUUGCCUUUCUUUUUCCUUUAAAAAAAAAAGAUUGCUUUUAUGGUAAAAAGCAGUAAUUUUUAAUCACACUGUAGAAAAAAAUUUUUCUUUAACAUAAGGAAGUGAGUUAAAA
Molecule: unclassified non-coding RNA, 648 nt
Filed under: Hevea brasiliensis (rubber tree)
Lineage: Eukaryota; Viridiplantae; Streptophyta; Magnoliopsida; Malpighiales; Euphorbiaceae
Source: RNAcentral